UACGAAGGGGGCGUAGCGUUGCUCGGGAAUCACUGGGCGUAAAGGGUGCGUAGGCGGGUCUUUAAGUCAGGGGUGAAAUCCUGGAGCUCAACUCCAGAACUGCCUUUGAUACUGAGGAUCUUGAGUUCGGGAGAGGUGGAGUGGAACUGCGAGUGUAGAGGUGAAAUUCGUAGAUAUUCGCAAGAACGACCGGUGGCGAAGGCGGGUCUCUGGGCCGAUACUGACGCUGAGGAGCGGAAAGCAUGGGUAGCGAACAGG
This 258-nucleotide ribosomal RNA is filed under the name uncultured bacterium. RNAcentral describes it as "partial 16S ribosomal RNA". It matches the Rfam family "Bacterial small subunit ribosomal RNA", at positions 524 to 776 of the family's 1533-position model. The record is from RNAcentral.